CGCAGGCUAAUACCCUGUGCUGCUGACGGUACCUGCAGAAUAAGCACCGGCUAACUCCGUGCCAGCAGCCGCGGUAAUACGUAGGGUGCGAGCGUUAAUCGGAAUUACUGGGCGUAAAGCGUGCGCAGGCGGCUAUGCAAGACAGAUGUGAAAUCCCCGGGCUCAACCUGGGAACUGCAUUUGUGACUGCAUGGCUAGAGUGCGUCAGAGGGAGGUGGAAUUCCGCGUGUAGCAGUGAAAUGCGUAGAGAUGCGGAGGAACACCGAUGGCGAAGGCAGCCUCCUGGGAUGACACUGACGCUCAUGCACGAAAGCGUGGGGAGCAAACAG
Molecule: ribosomal RNA, 329 nt
Filed under: uncultured bacterium
Lineage: Bacteria
Description: bacterial SSU rRNA
Rfam family: Bacterial small subunit ribosomal RNA
Source: RNAcentral